UACAGAGGUCUCAAGCGUUGUUCGGAUUCAUUGGGCGUAAAGGGUGCGUAGGCGGCGCGGUAAGUCGGGUGUGAAAUCUCGGAGCUUAACUCCGAAACUGCAUUCGAUACUGCCGUGCUUGAGGACUGGAGAGGAGACUGGAAUUUACGGUGUAGCGGUGAAAUGCGUAGAUAUCUGGAGGAAUACCGGCGGCGAAGGCGGCAUCCUGGACCGACAUUGACGCUGAUGAGCGAAAGCGUGGGGAGCAAACGGG
RNAcentral lists this ribosomal RNA (253 nucleotides) under uncultured bacterium. RNAcentral describes it as "partial 16S ribosomal RNA". It matches the Rfam family "Bacterial small subunit ribosomal RNA", at positions 524 to 776 of the family's 1533-position model. The record is from RNAcentral.